GACGAACGCUGGCGGCGUGCUUAACACAUGCAAGUCGAACGGAAAGGCCCUGCUUUUGUGGGGUGCUCGAGUGGCGAACGGGUGAGUAACACGUGAGUAACCUGCCCUUGACUUUGGGAUAACUUCAGGAAACUGGGGCUAAUACCGGAUAGGAGCUCCUGCUGCAUGGUGGGGGUUGGAAAGUUUCGGCGGUUGGGGAUGGACUCGCGGCUUAUCAGCUUGUUGGUGGGGUAGUGGCUUACCAAGGCUUUGACGGGUAGCCGGCCUGAGAGGGUGACCGGCCACAUUGGGACUGGGAUGCGGCCCAGACGCCUACGGGAGGCAGCAGUGGGGAAUAUUGCACAAUGGGCGGAAGCCGGAUGCAGCAACGCCGCGUGCGGGAUGACGGCCUUCGGGUUGGAAACCGCUUUCGCCUGUGACGAAGCGUGAGUGACGGUAAUGGGUAAAGAAGCACCGGCUAACUACGU
This 467-nucleotide ribosomal RNA is filed under the name uncultured bacterium. Its description in RNAcentral is "partial 16S ribosomal RNA". It matches the Rfam family "Bacterial small subunit ribosomal RNA", at positions 28 to 506 of the family's 1533-position model. The record is from RNAcentral.